RNAcentral lists this ribosomal RNA (253 nucleotides) under uncultured Eubacteriales bacterium. Its description in RNAcentral is "uncultured Clostridiales bacterium partial 16S ribosomal RNA". It matches the Rfam family "Bacterial small subunit ribosomal RNA", at positions 524 to 776 of the family's 1533-position model. The record is from RNAcentral. Lineage: Bacteria; Bacillati; Bacillota; Clostridia; Eubacteriales.
UACGUAGGGGGCAAGCGUUAUCCGGAUUUACUGGGUGUAAAGGGAGCGUAGACGGCAGCGCAAGUCUGGAGUGAAAUGCCGGGGCCCAACCCCGGAACUGCUCUGGAAACUGUGAAGCUGGAGUGCAGGAGAGGUAAGCGGAAUUCCUGGUGUAGCGGUGAAAUGCGUAGAUAUUAGGAGGAACACCAGUGGCGAAGGCGACUUUCUGGACAGUAACUGACGUUGAGGCACGAAAGUGUGGGGAGCAAACAGG